CCCCUCUCUGGGUCGCAGCUGGAGAGUUUCCAGUAUUCUAACAGUCUCGGCUACACGAGGGAGAAUCGAGCGGAGGCCUGUCCAUUCCAUUCCUAGCUUGGCCAGUGGCUAGCGAGUGGAAGGCAACCUGCUACAAGU
This is a small nucleolar RNA of Ornithorhynchus anatinus (platypus), 138 nucleotides long. NCBI's taxonomy places the organism in Eukaryota, Metazoa, Chordata, Mammalia, Monotremata, Ornithorhynchidae. The record is from RefSeq and is a predicted model, not a curated record.